This 54-nucleotide transfer RNA is filed under the name Thyreophagus entomophagus. RNAcentral's name for it is "tRNA-Glu". The record is from RNAcentral. Lineage: Eukaryota; Metazoa; Arthropoda; Arachnida; Sarcoptiformes; Acaridae.
ACUUCUUUAGUUUAAAAAGAACAUAGCCCUUUCAAAGCUAAAGAAAAAGAAGAA